AUUGAACGCUGGCGGCAGGCCUAACACAUGCAAGUCGAGCGGAUGAAGGGAGCUUGCUCCUGGAUUCAGCGGCGGACGGGUGAGUAAUGCCUAGGAAUCUGCCUGGUAGUGGGGGAUAACGUCCGGAAACGGGCGCUAAUACCGCAUACGUCCUGAGGGAGAAAGUGGGGGAUCUUCGGACCUCACGCUAUCAGAUGAGCCUAGGUCGGAUUAGCUAGUUGGUGGGGUAAAGGCCUACCAAGGCGACGAUCCGUAACUGGUCUGAGAGGAUGAUCAGUCACACUGGACCUGAGACCCGGUCCAGACUCCUACGGGAGGCAGCAGUGGGGAAUAUUGGACAAUGGGCGAAAGCCUGAUCCAGCCAUGCCGCGUGUGUGAAGAAGGUCUUCGGAUUGUAAAGCACUUUAAGUUGGGAGGAAGGGCAGUAAGUUAAUACCUUGCUGUUUUGACGUUACCAACAGAAUAAGCACCGGCUAACUUCGU
Molecule: ribosomal RNA, 483 nt
Filed under: uncultured bacterium
Lineage: Bacteria
Description: partial 16S ribosomal RNA
Rfam family: Bacterial small subunit ribosomal RNA
Source: RNAcentral